RNAcentral lists this transfer RNA (57 nucleotides) under Bos taurus (domestic cattle). It matches the Rfam family "tRNA", at positions 8 to 63 of the family's 71-position model. Rfam says of the family: Transfer RNA (tRNA) molecules are approximately 80 nucleotides in length. Their secondary structure includes four short double-helical elements and three loops (D, anti-codon, and T loops). The record is from Rfam by way of RNAcentral. RNAcentral also lists the same sequence under 2 other names. Lineage: Eukaryota; Metazoa; Chordata; Mammalia; Artiodactyla; Bovidae.
UAGCUCAGACGGUAAAGCGUCUGCCUGCAAUGCAGGAGACCUAGGUUCGAUCCCUGG